This is a long non-coding RNA of Acromyrmex echinatior (Panamanian leafcutter ant), 880 nucleotides long. NCBI's taxonomy places the organism in Eukaryota, Metazoa, Arthropoda, Insecta, Hymenoptera, Formicidae. The record is from RefSeq and is a predicted model, not a curated record.
ACUGAACGCAAUGUACGAUCGGUCGUAAAAGUUUCGUGAGACCACUCGAGUGCGUCGGUCAUGUGCCUCAUCUUGCUUUGAGAUUCGAGUGUGCGUCAUCUCAAUUAUGUUUUUGAGAAGCCGGCCUCAUUUGUGCAGUUGUAUUAAACGUUUCAUAUUCCCUUCAUUCGUCCGUGCACGUGCGGCGCGAAAACGUAGUCGCAGAUCGCAGGCGCCCAAUGUCUGAGGAACGUUUUGCCGUUUUUGUCUUAAUUGCAUUAUUCUUUUGUUCUAUUUACUGGUAUUUACUUAUUUGACAUGGUCGGUACAUUGCAUUCCAAUUUUAUGAUUUGUCUUUACGAUACUGAGCGGAAUCUUAUGAGCCGUCGUCUUAUCGUGCCUUAUUAGUGCCAUUAAUUUAAUUAAUUUUGAAGAAGAAGUACGAGCGAUCGCACAGAUAAUUUGAAAUGAUUGGCUCGUGCUACUAAUUGGGCGAAGUUGACUGUGGAGUUUGUUUAGAAGUUCAUCGAGAUCAUGAGCAAAAAUUUAACUUUUUGAUGUAGUUGCGUUUAUUGUGAGAUUCUAGUGUCACCGGUGUUGGAUUCCAAAGAGAAUGGUUUAUGUGCUUUGGGACUUACAUGCUAAUCAUGGGGCCACUAUCGAUAUCUCUUAGGCUAAAACAAGAUGGUUUGUCAUGGUAACUGCCUCGGCCUUAGAUUGACUGCAAUGGAUUCGCGUAGAGAAGACGUUUAUGAACAAUUAAAAUCCAAUUUGUACCAAAAUGACGCCGUGACUGGUGAAGCGGUUGGAAUCGCUAUGGGAAUUGUUAUGCUGGGAUUCAAAUCAACGCAUGUGAUCGACAAUAUGCCGGGUACUGUAAGUUUAAUACAUAUUUUUCUAU